Molecule: ribosomal RNA, 1048 nt
Filed under: Vibrio parahaemolyticus
Lineage: Bacteria; Pseudomonadati; Pseudomonadota; Gammaproteobacteria; Vibrionales; Vibrionaceae
Description: bacterial SSU rRNA
Rfam family: Bacterial small subunit ribosomal RNA
Source: RNAcentral
UUUGACGUUAGCGACAGAAGAAGCACCGGCUAACUCCGUGCCAGCAGCCGCGGUAAUACGGAGGGUGCGAGCGUUAAUCGGAAUUACUGGGCGUAAAGCGCAUGCAGGUGGUUUGUUAAGUCAGAUGUGAAAGCCCGGGGCUCAACCUCGGAAUUGCAUUUGAAACUGGCAGACUAGAGUACUGUAGAGGGGGGUAGAAUUUCAGGUGUAGCGGUGAAAUGCGUAGAGAUCUGAAGGAAUACCGGUGGCGAAGGCGGCCCCCUGGACAGAUACUGACACUCAGAUGCGAAAGCGUGGGGAGCAAACAGGAUUAGAUACCCUGGUAGUCCACGCCGUAAACGAUGUCUACUUGGAGGUUGUGGCCUUGAGCCGUGGCUUUCGGAGCUAACGCGUUAAGUAGACCGCCUGGGGAGUACGGUCGCAAGAUUAAAACUCAAAUGAAUUGACGGGGGCCCGCACAAGCGGUGGAGCAUGUGGUUUAAUUCGAUGCAACGCGAAGAACCUUACCUACUCUUGACAUCCAGAGAACUUUCCAGAGAUGGAUUGGUGCCUUCGGGAACUCUGAGACAGGUGCUGCAUGGCUGUCGUCAGCUCGUGUUGUGAAAUGUUGGGUUAAGUCCCGCAACGAGCGCAACCCUUAUCCUUGUUUGCCAGCGAGUAAUGUCGGGAACUCCAGGGAGACUGCCGGUGAUAAACCGGAGGAAGGUGGGGACGACGUCAAGUCAUCAUGGCCCUUACGAGUAGGGCUACACACGUGCUACAAUGGCGCAUACAGAGGGCAGCCAACUUGCGAAAGUGAGCGAAUCCCAAAAAGUGCGUCGUAGUCCGGAUUGGAGUCUGCAACUCGACUCCAUGAAGUCGGAAUCGCUAGUAAUCGUGGAUCAGAAUGCCACGGUGAAUACGUUCCCGGGCCUUGUACACACCGCCCGUCACACCAUGGGAGUGGGCUGCAAAAGAAGUAGGUAGUUUAACCUUCGGGGGGACGCUUACCACUUUGUGGUUCAUGACUGGGGUGAAGUCGUAACAAGGUAGCGCUAGGGGAACCUGG